UCCAAUAACCAGCCUUAUCCACUCCGGCCUUAUCUCCUUCCCGUGCGACUCUCGGCGCCUCGCCCUCGCCGCCCCCGUCGGCGGCGGCGGCCCGCCGCGGGAGCAACCACCCUCUGCCGCGGCCUAACACGAAGCUCUCUCCGUUUUGCUCCUCGCUCCACAUCUACAUCAACUCCCGCUGAGCUCCCCCGCCGCCGACGGCUCCCCGCCCGGCUCCGGUGACGCAACGCCGCCUUCGCCACCGCCGCGACCACCGCCGACGCUAAAUCGUCGGAAUCCUACGCCCCCGCCGCCUCCACAGCCCACCGGGGGUCCCCACCGCCCAGCUCCGGCGGCGCCCUCGCCGCCUCCGAUCCAGCCGUCUCCCCCGCCUCCACCGCCGGCCGACGAGCCACCCAGAACUCCUUCUAGGUCCGCGGGCACAGGUAACCCCCAACCCUCAGCCCCAAAUACCGAAACCCCCAACCCUAAAAGCUCGCCGGAGGAGCUCGCCGGAGGAGGCCUCCAUUGUUGUUGGAGGAGGAGAAGCGCAGCUACGUGGCGUUCGUCGAUUGGUCAAAAAUUCAAGUGGUGGAGCUUCUCAAAACACUCGAGUGUUGUUUAGCUCCUCCCAACUGAAAAAGGUGGCUUGUGGCCUGGACAGCCAACUAACAGCGGGAUAGGCCGCCGGCCGGCUGGCCGUCAACUGGGACUCGAGAGAGCCUGUCGGUGCUUCAGCGGCAGCGUAACUGCCGCGCGACGCGAGAUGACAAGACGAUCCCCAUUCCCCAACCAACCCGGCGCCUCCGAUCCCCUUCACUUUCACUGCGCUGCCGGCCUGCUGAUCAGCGCAGGCAGCAGUCGCGGUACGAUACGAUCAAAGGCGGCUCCCUUCCAUCCACGUGAGUGGCCCCCGCGCUGAGCGCCCCGCCCAUUUCACCAUCAUUUUGACGGGACUUGCACAGCCAUCCCUGAUCAUUUGAAGGGACGUGCCGUCAACUUGGGGUGGUUCAGGGAUCAGAUGCAGUGUGAAAGGCGAGUACCGCGCGACACUAGCUUUGGGGCAAAGCGUUGAAUCAUUAGCUUGGGUUGUUGCUUCGAUUUUAAUAGCAGAUCUAGGUAAAAGUUAUAGUAAAAAGGGUUGUUCAUCGAAUACAGCACGGUGUUAAAUCUGGGUGGAAGAACUGAACACCUGGACAGCAGCGAGCAGGCUGGCACUGAUGAUGCAUCUGACCAUCUGACUGGCUACGUUGGUACUGGUA
Long non-coding RNA from Setaria italica (foxtail millet), 1241 nucleotides. RefSeq lists it as uncharacterized. The transcript is spliced from 2 exons. NCBI's taxonomy places the organism in Eukaryota, Viridiplantae, Streptophyta, Magnoliopsida, Poales, Poaceae. The record is from RefSeq and is a predicted model, not a curated record.